AGUCGUACGGGCGGCUUCGGCUGUCAGUGGCGGACGGGUGAGUAACGCGUAGGAACGUGUCCUGUGAUGGGGGAUAACGCUGGGAAACUGGCGCUAAUACCGCAUAUUUCCUGAGGGAGAAAGCCGAUAGGCGUCAUGGGAGCGGCCUGCGUCCGAUUAGGUAGUUGGUGGGGUAAAGGCCUACCAAGCCUGCGAUCGGUAGCUGGUCUGAGAGGAUGAUCAGCCACACUGGGACUGAGACACGGCCCAGACUCCUACGGGAGGCAGCAGUGGGGAAUAUUGGACAAUGGGCGCAAGCCUGAUCCAGCAAUUCCGCGUGGGUGAAGAAGGUCUUCGGAUUGUAAAGCCCUUUCGGCAGGGACGAUGAUGACGGUACCUGCAGAAGAAGCCCCGGCUAACUUCGUGCCAGCAGCCGCGGUAAUACGAAGGGGGCUAGCGUUGCUCGGAAUGACUGGGCGUAAAGGGCGCGUAGGCGGUUUGCACAGUCAGGCGUGAAAUUCCUGGGCUUAACCUGGGGGCUGCGUUUGAUACGUACAGACUUGAGGAUGGAAGAGGCUCGUGGAAUUCCCAGUGUAGAGGUGAAAUUCGUAGAUAUUGGGAAGAACACCGGUGGCGAAGGCGGCGAGCUGGUCCAUUACUGACGCUGAGGCGCGAAAGCGUGGGGAGCAAACAGGAUUAGAUACCCUGGUAGUCCACGCUGUAAACGAUGUGCGCUGGAUGUUGGGUGGCUUAGCCACUCAGUGUCGUAGCUAACGCGAUAAGCGCACCGCCUGGGGAGUACGCACGCAAGUGUGAAACUCAAAGGAAUUGACGGGGGCCCGCACAAGCGGNGGNNUAUGNNGUUUNANU
Molecule: ribosomal RNA, 849 nt
Filed under: uncultured bacterium
Lineage: Bacteria
Description: bacterial SSU rRNA
Rfam family: Bacterial small subunit ribosomal RNA
Source: RNAcentral